AGUGAACGCUGGCGGCAGGCCUAACACAUGCAAGUCGAACGGCAGCACAGUAAGAGCUUGCUCUUACGGGUGGCGAGUGGCGGACGGGUGAGGAAUACAUCGGAAUCUACUUUUUCGUGGGGGAUAACGUAGGGAAACUUACGCUAAUACCGCAUACGACCUACGGGUGAAAGCAGGGGAUCUUCGGACCUUGCGCGAUUGAAUGAGCCGAUGUCGGAUUAGCGAGUUGGCGGGGUAAAGGCCCACCAAGGCGACGAUCCGUAGCUGGUCUGAGAGGAUGAUCAGCCACACUGGAACUGAGACACGGUCCAGACUCCUACGGGAGGCAGCAGUGGGGAAUAUUGGACAAUGGGCGCAAGCCUGAUCCAGCCAUGCCGCGUGGGUGAAGAAGGCCUUCGGGUUGUAAAGCCCUUUUGUUGGGAAAGAAAGGCAUCAGGUUAAUACCCCGCUGUUCUGACGGUACCCGCAGAAUAAGCACCGGCUAACUUCGUG
This 492-nucleotide ribosomal RNA is filed under the name uncultured bacterium. Its description in RNAcentral is "partial 16S ribosomal RNA". It matches the Rfam family "Bacterial small subunit ribosomal RNA", at positions 29 to 507 of the family's 1533-position model. The record is from RNAcentral.